CGUUCUUGGAGUCUCCAUAAGGUUGAGAGAGUUUUAGAUCAUUAGCUCGAGUUAGAGGUCGAGUCGAAGACUGGCAUGGAUUUCAAUUCAACUUGGAAACGGAGACAUCCUCUUGUACUCCGCAUAAAGGGAGGUCUCUAUCAUCUGAUUCAGCGUCUGUUCUCUUAAUCGAAGAAUUUGAGGCUUCUCACCUGUGUAGAGAUAGAAAUUGGGUUCAAAGCUUGUCCCGGCGAUCGGUGAUUUUGAUUCAAAUGCAAGAGUAAAAUAGAGGUGACUUCUCCAAUCUGCUCUGCCUUCUGAACCUUUUGUUCCUUUUGGUUUGUGGGAGACGAAACAUUGAGGCUGAGCUCUAUGUCAUCCUGCUUGACAUUUUGAAUUGGUAGUUUAGGCUUUGUGGCUUUGUAUUGCUUGUUUUUGGGAAGUGGUGGUGCAAGACUUUUGCUAUGGUGGAAGAAAGAAAACAAGGCAGAGUGGGAAGCUUCUGGUGUGAUGUGUAUCGCUGAGAUUGAAGGAAGAGAAGAUGGCAUUUUGUACAGAUUCUUUUAGCAUAAGAACUUGGUCGUUUAUGAACGAUGUUACGUUCCAUCAUUAGAAGCUGCAGCAGCCAAGUACGUUGAGACUCCGACCGUUCAUGAACGACCAUAUCAGUCUAAACGCAAGAGAAAUUUUCUCGGCCGUUCUUGAACGACCGUGGUUGUUUUCAAAAGGGUAUUGGUUGUUCAUGAAUAGCCCCCCUUUGCUUGAAGCAAACCAGUUAAUUCUCUGCCAGAGAAGACAAGAACAACAUGACGCAGCGUAUACCUGAAAGUCUCCUUUCCGAGCUGCUUUGAUUUUGCCCUCUGUUUUGGCAGAGCCUUGGCUUCUUGCUUGCUGCCUAUUUUUCUCCUCUCUCUCUCCGUUAUAUAGCAGUAGUUUGAUAAGUGUAGUUGGGUAGCUGAUAACCCUUUCCAACUUUGUAUUUGAAUUUGAAUGAUAAGUUUAUCUCCAGCUGUUAUCUUCACAUUUGAAUCGGUCAAGCACUUAACCAACACUUGAAUAGUCAAAGCUAGCCGAACAUGUAUCCUUGACAUAAGUUUGAA
Rosa chinensis is the source of this 1079-nucleotide long non-coding RNA. RefSeq lists it as uncharacterized. The record is from RefSeq and is a predicted model, not a curated record. Lineage: Eukaryota; Viridiplantae; Streptophyta; Magnoliopsida; Rosales; Rosaceae. The transcript has 3 exons.